GACGAACGCUGGCGGCGUGCUUAACACAUGCAAGUCGAACGAAAAUACCAAGCUUGCUUGGUUGAUUAGUGGCGAACGGGUGAGUAACACGUGAGUAACCUGCCCCUUACUUUCUGGAUAACUGCUCGAAAGGGUAGCUAAUACGGGAUAUUCUGGCCUUCCUGCAUGGGUUGGUUUGGAAAGGUUUUUUUUCUGGUGAGGGAUGGGCUCGCGGCCUAUCAGCUUGUUGGUGGGGUGAUGGCCUACCAAGGCUUUGACGGGUAGCCGGCCUGAGAGGGUGGACGGUCACACUGGGACUGAGAUACGGCCCAGACUCCUACGGGAGGCAGCAGUGGGGAAUAUUGCACAAUGGGGGAAACCCUGAUGCAGCGACGCCGCGUGAGUGAAGAAGUAUUUCGGUAUGUAAAGCUCUAUCAGCAGGGAAGAUAAUGACAGUACCUGACUAAGAAGCCCCGGCUAACUACGUGCCAGCAGCCGCGGUAAUACGUAGGGGGCAAGCGUUAUCCGGAUUUACUGGGUGUAAAGGGAGCGUAGACGGAAUGGCAAGUCUGAAGUGAAAUACCCGGGCUCAACCUGGGAACUGCUUUGGAAACUGUUGUUCUAGAGUGUUGGAGAGGUAAGUGGAAUUCCUGGUGUAGCGGUGAAAUGCGUAGAUAUCAGGAAGAACACCGGAGGCGAAGGCGGCUUACUGGACAAUAACUGACGUUGAGGCUCGAAAGCGUGGGGAUCAAACAGG
Molecule: ribosomal RNA, 736 nt
Filed under: uncultured Dialister sp.
Lineage: Bacteria; Bacillati; Bacillota; Negativicutes; Veillonellales; Veillonellaceae
Description: bacterial SSU rRNA
Rfam family: Bacterial small subunit ribosomal RNA
Source: RNAcentral